GUGCCAGAGCACACUUCAGCAGCACAUGUACUAAAGUUACAAUAGCAUAGAGAAGAUUAACAUGGCCUCUGGGCAAGGAUGACACACACAUUCGUGAAGUGUUCAUAUAUUUU
Small nuclear RNA from Octodon degus (degu), 113 nucleotides. The record is from Ensembl. NCBI's taxonomy places the organism in Eukaryota, Metazoa, Chordata, Mammalia, Rodentia, Octodontidae.